This 1343-nucleotide long non-coding RNA is filed under the name Homo sapiens (human). RNAcentral describes it as "HSALNT0391705". The record is from RNAcentral. Lineage: Eukaryota; Metazoa; Chordata; Mammalia; Primates; Hominidae.
UAUCACAGGGUAUUUUCAGAAGUCUCACCACCAUUCUGGUCCCUUCUACCUUGUUCCCUGCCUCGUACUAACCCAUUUCCUUAUUACACUUUUGUGUCUUGCCAGCGUGAGUGCAUACACAGAGGUGUGUUCAUCUCCACCCUGCCUUCUCACACAAAGGGUAGCUUACUCUAUGUACUGUCUGUCCUUCAGACUUGAAAUUGAAGGAGCCAUUUUCAAGACACUGAAGGAAAACCCAAGAACAAAUAAUCCCCUGUGAAUAGUCCAGUGUACCAGUCCAGUGUACCAGUGUACCAGUGUACAGUCCAGUGUACCAGUGUCAUAGAGGAACUGCCACUGGGGCUGGGUGCAGUGGCUCAUGCCUGUAAUCCUAGCACUUUGGGAGGCUGGGGUCGGAGGAUCACUUGAGCCCAGGAGUUUGAGGCCAGAACAAGGGACUAGAGUCUGAGCCUGGUGCCAGCUGGGUUCCCAGGGCACAGAAUUUGGAUCCUGGAUGACAGGGGCGAAGUCCUGGCUCCAGUUAUCACUAACAGCGGGAGCCCCAGGCAGUGGACUUGCCCUCACUUGGUGGUGGGGGUUCCCGAUAUGUACAAAGGGGUUAGAACCAUCGGCCUUGCCGUUCAUGACCGAUUCAGAGGCCUUGUGGACAGGCUGGUUCAGGUGGGCGUGUGGCGAGCACAUGGUGUGCACUGGGCGGGCAUCCAGGAGAGGCAGCUUUUAUCCCAACAGCACCCAAACAGGAGCCCUGGACCCUGGGCAGAAAAGGCAGCCAGAAGCACAGAAAGGGUCAAUAAACUAGUUCUACAAUUGCUCUAAAUGGGCAGAUCCACAAGAGGCCACAAAAGAGGCCAGAGACUUGAAAACCCGUGCGUGUUCUCCGCGGUCGCUGUAGCCGGAUCCUUCCUCAUGGCUGUGGCGGUGCCGACGGCGGGCAACUGAGAGGAAGCCACAGGAGAAAGAGACCGCCACACAGAGACGACGGCCAAAAGGCCUAAGCACUCAAACCAUGCAGACAGAAGUAAGGCUGGCUCUGGCUCAGGGAGAUCACAAUCUCAGGGCUGCCACAUCGGAUAAAAGACUCAAAGCUCCAAAGCGCAGCACAGAGCCUUCUCCAGAAACAGCAGAAUAAGUGCCUGUCGGGGAUCCCCAAGCAGAGACACUAAGAGAAAGGGAAACGACGGCAGUAAGAAAAUACGCGGGGGCUCUCCUUCUCAGUCAUGCAUAAUAAACACAAGAGAAAUUUCGAGAAAUUUCAUUUGCAUGUUGAAAUUUCAUUGCAACAUGGUCCCACGGAGGGAUUCGACGCUGAGAAAGCUACUGUGCUUGGGGCGGGGGGGUCUUGC